GAUGAACGCUGGCGGCGUGCCUAAUACAUGCAAGUCGAGCGAACAGACGAGGAGCUUGCUCCUCUGACGUUAGCCGCGGACGGGUGAGUAACACGUGGAUAACCUACCUAUAAGACUGGGAUAACUUCGGGAAACCGGAGCUAACACCGGAUAAUAUAUUGAACCGCAUGGUUCAAUAGUGAAAGACGGUUUUGCUGUCACUUAUAGAUGGAUCUGCGCCGCAUUAGCUAGUUGGUAAGGUAACGGCUUACCAAGGCGACGAUGCGUAGCCGACCUGAGAGAGGGAUAGGCCACACUGGAACUGGAACACGGUCCAGACGCCUGCGGUAGGCAGCAGUAGGGAAUCUUCCGCAAUGGGCGAAAGCCUGACGGAGCAGCGCCACGUGAGUGAUGACGAUCUUCGGAUCGUAAAACUCUGUUAUUAGGGAAGAACAAAUUUGUAAGUAAAUAUGCACGUCUUGACGGUACCUAAUCAGAAAGCCACGGCUAACUACGUG
Molecule: ribosomal RNA, 497 nt
Filed under: uncultured bacterium
Lineage: Bacteria
Description: partial 16S ribosomal RNA
Rfam family: Bacterial small subunit ribosomal RNA
Source: RNAcentral